GGGCAGGCCUAACCUCCCACCCGUGAAUACCUGACCAACGUUGCUUCGGCGGUGCGCCCCNCCGGGGGUAGCCGCCGGAGACCACACCGAACCUCUUGUUUAAGCCUGUUGUCUGAGCUUGAUAGCAAAUCUAUUAAAACUUUCAACAAUGGAUCUCUUGGUUCCGGCAUCGAUGAAGAACGCAGCGAACUGCGAUAAGUAAUGUGAAUUGCAGAAUUCAGUGAAUCAUCGAGUCUUUGAACGCACAUUGCGCCCCCUGGCAUUCCGGGGGGCAUGCCUGUCCGAGCGUCAUUGCUGCCCUUCAAGCCCGGCUUGUGUGUUGGGUCGUCGUCCCCCCCGGGGGACGGGCCCGAAAGGCAGCGGCGGCACCGCGUCCUGGUCCUCGAGCGUAUGGGGCUUUGUCACCCGCUCGAUUAGGGCCGGCCGGGCGCCAGCCGACGUCUCCAACCUUUUAUUUUACCAGGUUGACCUCGGAUCAGGUAGGGAUACCCGCUGAACUUAAGCAUAUCAAUAAGCGGAGGAAAAGAAACCAACCGGGAUUGCCUCAGUAACGGCGAGUGAAGCGGCAAGAGCUCAAAUUUGAAAUCUGGCCCCUCCGGGGUCCGAGUUGUAAUUU
This 616-nucleotide small RNA is filed under the name Aspergillus sp. 2 VH-2016. RNAcentral's name for it is "eukaryotic LSU rRNA". The stretch from base 138 to 291 matches the Rfam family "5.8S ribosomal RNA". Lineage: Eukaryota; Fungi; Ascomycota; Eurotiomycetes; Eurotiales; Aspergillaceae. The record is from RNAcentral.